This 209-nucleotide long non-coding RNA is filed under the name Lathyrus oleraceus (garden pea). RNAcentral's name for it is "Pisum sativum (pea) long non-coding RNA (PSAT_LNC033835)". The record is from RNAcentral. Lineage: Eukaryota; Viridiplantae; Streptophyta; Magnoliopsida; Fabales; Fabaceae.
UGGAUUUGAAAUUUGAGGUUCAUGAUCUGAGUUGCUUCGAUUUGAUUUCAAAGCAACUCAAUCUUGUUGCUUGCAUUGGUAGGAUUUCAACAAACCAAAAAUCACAAAGAAUAGUGAAGAAUUGAGAGAGUAUCGAAGAGAUGAAGUUUCUGAAUUUUCACCUUCGAGUUGCUUCAAAUUUGCUUGAUCUUGACUUGGAUUUGCUUGAU